UGGAAUCAAUAACUGGGGUGAAGUCGUAACAAGGUAGCCGUAUCGGAAGGUGCGGCUGGAUCACCUCCUUUCUAAGGAGA
This 80-nucleotide ribosomal RNA is filed under the name Clostridioides difficile. RNAcentral describes it as "partial 16S ribosomal RNA". The stretch from base 1 to 71 matches the Rfam family "Bacterial small subunit ribosomal RNA", at positions 1463 to 1533 of the family's 1533-position model. The record is from RNAcentral. Lineage: Bacteria; Bacillati; Bacillota; Clostridia; Peptostreptococcales; Peptostreptococcaceae.